UCCGUAAGCACGUUUUUUCAUUGUUGCAUAAACAAUAAAUAUCAAGAAUACUUUUUUGGUGAUUGUCGAAGAGAUUUGUUGGAUUGAAAAUAUAUCUAAUGGGAAUUUUGUUUAAAAAGAUGAAUCUUAUGAUUGUAGAUCACUAGGAAGCAACGAAAAAAAGGCGUGAAAUGGAAGAGCGAAGGAAAGAAGUGAGCCGUCCUCAAUCACAAAGAGAAAGGAUUAACGUCGCAAUCUCACAAUACCUUGUAUAAUAUUUAAUUAUCCCGGUUAGAAGCGGAAUAUGCUAUGAGUUCUACCUGUUAAAAUCAUAUAAAUACGCCGACAACAUAGAAAUUCUUAACAGAUGUAAUAAAGACAUCAACGAAUAUAAAGCUUACGUUGGAGUUAUUUAUAUUUGCUUUUGCUUUUUCUCCAAUUAUUUGUUGGCACGAUUCAACAAAUGUUAAACCUGCGGAUCCUUACAAAGCUCUUAUACAGUCCAAUGGACGAUACUGUGCCAUGAGCGAUGAUGAUAGGGCCGAUGUUAAUUUUUGCUUGUUGGAAAACAGAAAUUUUCUUUUGUUGGAAUUCUACAAAAACUGUAUUCAGCAACUGAAAUUCUUUCAAACUAUGGCAGAAAUCAACAAUUUCAUUUGUCAAUCCAGACAAACAGCGCCACGAGUAUAUGCAAAAUUUAUUAAAUGUUUUGCUCCAGCUAAAUAUAUUUUAAGUUUUGACGACCCGAAAUUGUAUCCU
Molecule: long non-coding RNA, 738 nt
Filed under: Centruroides sculpturatus (bark scorpion)
Lineage: Eukaryota; Metazoa; Arthropoda; Arachnida; Scorpiones; Buthidae
Description: uncharacterized LOC111620437, transcript variant X1
Source: RNAcentral